Molecule: long non-coding RNA, 428 nt
Filed under: Hordeum vulgare
Lineage: Eukaryota; Viridiplantae; Streptophyta; Magnoliopsida; Poales; Poaceae
Description: long non-coding RNA (HVUL_LNC002120)
Source: RNAcentral
ACCUAUCCUUUGAGGUCAUCUGAGAGUACUGUCAGGGUUCUUCGUUCUAGAUCAGUUGCAGAUAAGUCACCUAGUGACGCUGUUCAAAUAGCAGAAAGAGCCGCGGAGAAGCCACCCAGAGACUCUGUGGACGCUGUAGUAAAACCACCUGCUAAAAGAAUAAAGAGGGAUAGACCCGCAAAGGGUGGUCCAGACGAUGAGUUAUCAAAAAUUCGGAAGCGAAUUAGAUAUGUUUUGAACCGGAUGAACUAUCAGCAAAGUUUUCUUGAAGCAUAUGCCAAUGAAGGCUGGAAAAAUCAAAGGUUUGCCACCUCUCUAUUCAUGUAUUUGAUUUGAUGUGCUGGCGUCUUCUCCUGAAUUCACCUUUGCAUUUGUAGCCGAAGUUUCAUUUUCUGUUACUCCUUCCGUUCCCUUCUGCAAGGUGUUCU